RNAcentral lists this long non-coding RNA (229 nucleotides) under Nicotiana benthamiana. RNAcentral's name for it is "long non-coding RNA (NBEN_LNC035674)". Lineage: Eukaryota; Viridiplantae; Streptophyta; Magnoliopsida; Solanales; Solanaceae. The record is from RNAcentral.
UUUUAUCUCCAUUUGCUGUCGGUAACUUUCAUCUCCUUUACUCCUAUUUAACAGCAUAAUUUGAAGGAUUUUUGUAAGUUCGAUUCAUCUACUCAACUAGGUUGGUAAAUUUUUCCUUCGUCUCCUUUCCAUCUUUUUUCAAAAUUUUCUGAUUUCAUGAUGAAAAUCUUCGUAGGUGUUGUUAUUGGUUAUUUAAACUUCUUCCAAGAACUACUUUAUCAGUUUUUUC